RNAcentral lists this transfer RNA (73 nucleotides) under Phalanger vestitus. RNAcentral describes it as "tRNA-Leu". It matches the Rfam family "tRNA". Rfam says of the family: Transfer RNA (tRNA) molecules are approximately 80 nucleotides in length. Their secondary structure includes four short double-helical elements and three loops (D, anti-codon, and T loops). The record is from RNAcentral. Lineage: Eukaryota; Metazoa; Chordata; Mammalia; Diprotodontia; Phalangeridae.
UACUUUUAAAGGAUGACAGCUAAUCCAUUGGUCUUAGGAACCAGUUACUUUGGUGCAACUCCAAAUAAAAGUA